This 1329-nucleotide ribosomal RNA is filed under the name Campylobacter coli. RNAcentral's name for it is "partial 23S ribosomal RNA". It matches the Rfam family "Bacterial large subunit ribosomal RNA", at positions 1607 to 2925 of the family's 2925-position model. The record is from RNAcentral. Lineage: Bacteria; Pseudomonadati; Campylobacterota; Epsilonproteobacteria; Campylobacterales; Campylobacteraceae.
GCCAAGAAAAGUUUCUAAGUUUAGCUAAUGUUGCCCGUACCGUAAACCGACACAGGUGGGUGGGAUGAGUAUUCUAAGGCGCGUGGAAGAACUCUCUUUAAGGAACUCUGCAAAAUAGCACCGUAUCUUCGGUAUAAGGUGUGGUUCGCUUCGUAUUAGGAUUUACUCCGAAAGCGAAGAAACUUACAACAAAGAGUCCCUCCCGACUGUUUACCAAAAACACAGCACUCUGCUAACUCGUAAGAGGAUGUAUAGGGUGUGACGCCUGCCCGGUGCUCGAAGGUUAAUUGAUGGGGUUAGCAUUAGCGAAGCUCUUGAUCGAAGCCCGAGUAAACGGCGGCCGUAACUAUAACGGUCCUAAGGUAGCGAAAUUCCUUGUCGGUUAAAUACCGACCUGCAUGAAUGGCGUAACGAGAUGGGAGCUGUCUCAAAGAGGGAUCCAGUGAAAUUGUAGUGGAGGUGAAAAUUCCUCCUACCCGCGGCAAGACGGAAAGACCCCGUGGACCUUUACUACAGCUUGACACUGCUAUUUGGAUAAGAAUGUGCAGGAUAGGUGGGAGGCUUUGAGUAUAUGACGCCAGUUGUAUAUGAGCCAUUGUUGAGAUACCACUCUUUCUUAUUUGGGUAGCUAACCAGCUUGAGUUAUCCUCAAGUGGGACAAUGUCUGGUGGGUAGUUUGACUGGGGCGGUCGCCUCCCAAAUAAUAACGGAGGCUUACAAAGGUUGGCUCAGAACGGUUGGAAAUCGUUCGUAGAGUAUAAAGGUAUAAGCCAGCUUAACUGCAAGACAUACAAGUCAAGCAGAGACGAAAGUCGGUCUUAGUGAUCCGGUGGUUCUGUGUGGAAGGGCCAUCGCUCAAAGGAUAAAAGGUACCCCGGGGAUAACAGGCUGAUCUCCCCCAAGAGCUCACAUCGACGGGGAGGUUUGGCACCUCGAUGUCGGCUCAUCGCAUCCUGGGGCUGGAGCAGGUCCCAAGGGUAUGGCUGUUCGCCAUUUAAAGCGGUACGCGAGCUGGGUUCAGAACGUCGUGAGACAGUUCGGUCCCUAUCUGCCGUGGGCGUAAGAAGAUUGAAGAGAUUUGACCCUAGUACGAGAGGACCGGGUUGAACAAACCACUGGUGUAGCUGUUGUUCUGCCAAGAGCAUCGCAGCGUAGCUAAGUUUGGAAAGGAUAAACGCUGAAAGCAUCUAAGCGUGAAGCCAACUCUAAGAUGAAUCUUCUCUAAGCUCUCUAGAAGACUACUAGUUUGAUAGGCUGGGUGUGUAAUGGAUGAAAGUCCUUUAGCUGACCAGUACUAAUAGAGCGUUUGGCUUAUCUUUAAUAAAGCAU